Zea mays is the source of this 3010-nucleotide long non-coding RNA. RefSeq lists it as uncharacterized. The transcript has 5 exons. The record is from RefSeq and is a predicted model, not a curated record. Lineage: Eukaryota; Viridiplantae; Streptophyta; Magnoliopsida; Poales; Poaceae.
GAUCUCAGGCUUUCCCUGGUCAUGAUACUUCUGAAGAUUGUAGUUGUUGUUAUGGACGGUGGAAAUGGUUGGUUCUGAUGGUUUUGGUCUUUUGCGGAUUGUUAUUGUUUUUUACGAGGGGCGGCGUGAUCCUUUUCAAUCUCGCAUGUUGUAUCACAAUAUGUUUUCGUUUUUAAUGUUGUCCAUCAAUUAUUCUUAUAUGUGUGACACCAGCAUACUUAUCUGUUGAAUGCCAUGUACAGGCAGAGGAAGUUGUGGUGGAAAAGACCAAAACAAUGAUAAAAAGCCUCUACAUCUUGUCAAAGGUGCCUUUGGACAGUUGCAAAUCAGCUUGUACUUGUAGCAGCAGCUGGACAGGGUCCUGCAAUGCUCGCUCCAUGGGGUGCAGGCUCAUCGUCUACCAUUACUGCCUCUCCGUGCUGGUUCCUACCAAUCUAAAACCGCUCAGGGGUGUUUGGAUUCAGCCACUAAAAUUUAGUUGAGGCCGAGGCCCUCUUUGAGCUCUACAAGAUCAGUUGUUCUAUCAUCGACGACGACCUAUCAACGAGGCGCAUUCAAUAAAAUUCCUCUUCGAUUCCUGUAUCUGUCGUGCAUAUUCUUGUCAUUCAUGACGUGAUUUGGGGUUGAUUUGAACAUCUAUUUUUUUGAAUGAAACAUUCCUUGCACUUGGAAGAUGUGUUUUUUUGUUGCUUUAGGCCUCGGACAAUUUCUUUGGAUUUAAAUAUGGAGGAAAUGGUUACAAAAGACCUGGGAUAGUGACACUCUGUCAUCCUAGGCUAAUGAGAUUGAGCACCUGGUAAUUCCAGCAACAGAUUACCUCUUUGAACCUUCACUCUAGGAUAUUUCUCAAGCCAUAGAUUUCAUCCAUAGGAAUGCAUCACAAGGUGGUACCACAUUACCCAUGAUCUACGUGCUCGGAGACUCCCUGGCGCCUGUCGAGAACAACAAUAACCUGGUGACACUGCUCAAGGCCAACUUCCUACGAAACAACAUCGACUACCUAGGGCACAAGGCCACCGGCUGCUUCAGCAAUGGCAAGAACUCCAUCGACUUCCUCGGAAGAAGGUAGGGGAAAAGCAGGGAAGUAGGUCGUACCACGGUGCCUCGUGCUAUCGCUAACGAGGGAGCUCGCUCAACAAGUAAGCCAUUGAAUAUUGUUUUUUGAGUAUCGUGGUUGAAUUUGUUUAUUUUUCGUGAUUUUAUUUAUUUUUACAAGUUCCAUGUUGAUUUCCUCCCGUGCACGAGUGUCCCUGCAGCCAUAGGGAGACCACAUCGAGCUGCACCAGAAGCGCCAUGGUAAGCACUUGGACCACGAAGUGCGCAAGCACGAGGCGCGCGAGGUGCAUAGGCCUCAAAGGACACCCGCAAUGUGUAGUUCUGAUCUGAUAAGUUUAUGCACUUUUGGUUUUGUUGUUCAUGUGCGCCCAUUGUUGAUGAUCACGUGUCUUGUGCUGUUGUAGUUGAUUGGUACUAAGGGCAAGAGGUUUGUCAAGAAACGCUAUGCUAAGAAGGCGCAGAUGAAGAAGACAUAAGUGCUUGUUUGCUGCUCCUGUUUAUGUGUUGAUAUUUGUGAGCCAAUAACUUUUAACCAUGACUGCUUUACUGGUGUAUCAUACCCUGAGUAACGGUUGUGAGCAUGAAAAAUUGCUUACGCCCCAUAGAGGUUAUGACUCAGCUUGUCAGCCAUCCCCAACUAAGUUGUGUUCUUCUGAACCAUGCUACUUUGUUCUUUACUGCAACCUGCAUUCGUUGAUGUGAACAAACUGAUUAUGUAUUCCUCUGAUCAUUACUUAGAUGAGGAACAAUCUCUUUGUAUUAUGUGGUCUGACUAUCGUGGUGGAAUUUGUUUAAUCUGUUUAUGUGAUUUGCAAAAGAAAAUGCAAUGAGUAUGCGCCUUUGUGAAAUAAUAAAGUUAACUAUGCAUUAACUCUUUUCAAAGGCACCACAACACUUUUUGUUGGUUGAUGGCAUAGAAUAAUCUCGCUUAUCAGUUAAAAUUGUGAAUUUGUGGGGUAUUUUUUGGGCCGCUAUCGAACAUGUCAAGAAUGAAUAAUGCUACAGAUCUGCUCAUGGGUAGCUAGAACAUCUCCAUCAAUUCUGCUCUUUAAUUCUAAUCUAAUGGAUAUCACAAAAUCUUGGGGAGUUUUUUUUCAUCAGUAUGAUAACUAGAACAUAUUCAACAGUUUUGUUGUGUUCAUCAAAACACGGUUACUUUCAAGUCUUCAUCAAAAUAAGGUUACUUCAAUCUACUUUUUUCUCACUCUCUUCCUCAAUCAUCGUUUUUCCAUUGCCUGAUGUGGAUGCUACUCGUACUGAACGCCAGGUACCUUCUUUUCCCUACUUUGCCAAGAUUUCUUUUGAUUUUUUAAAAUUUAGACCCGAAUGAUAAGUAAACACUUGAAGUCAGCAAUCCUAAUAUAUAUCUUUGUUAUUUCCUUUCAAAAUCUUCUGUUAGCACUUCCCAUCUAUGUCUCCCCUGGUAGCAUCCACCUACUCUGAGUGUUUGGGUAGUAUCACUAGCAACAAAAAUCUAUUGAUCACAAACAACAAACAGUGAUCUCGACGCAUUUGGUCGGUAAUGCUAUUUUGAUGAAUGCACUUAGUUUGUAACUUUGUAAUAUGUGACAAAACAAUGUCAAUGAAAGAGCGAUAACUGAGGCAUUUGCCAUGCAGUUUAAUUGCUUUUAUGAUCAAUAAUUUUAUAUAGACAUUUGUCUCUAUCAAUGUUAAAGGAUUUUUCACAUACAUUUUUUGUUCUAAAAAAUAAAAUAGGGAAAACUCAAUUCAACUGUGUAGGCACAAUUUUGAAGCCAAGUUCACUGACGCUUGUUAUUGGCAUCAGGUUUCACGGUUGCGUGAGUACCAGGGUGUAGAUUCACGUUUUGAUGUGAUUGCAAGACAAUACCUUGAAAUUGUAUGGGUAAUCUUUCCGGUGUUGCUGCCAUUAGUUUGCUUGCUAACCAUGGUCGAGCUUCAGAAACUGGAGAGCAUGCAAUGGACAAUUCACCAG